RNAcentral lists this transfer RNA (72 nucleotides) under Stegodyphus mimosarum. It matches the Rfam family "tRNA". From Rfam's summary of the family: Transfer RNA (tRNA) molecules are approximately 80 nucleotides in length. Lineage: Eukaryota; Metazoa; Arthropoda; Arachnida; Araneae; Eresidae. The record is from Rfam by way of RNAcentral.
GCCUUCGUAGUGUAGUGGUCAGCACGCUCGUCGCGUAUUCGAGUGAACCAGGUUCGAGUCCCGACGAGGGCA